RNAcentral lists this long non-coding RNA (5467 nucleotides) under Salmo salar (Atlantic salmon). Its description in RNAcentral is "lncRNA (ENSSSAG00000115666.1)". The record is from RNAcentral. Lineage: Eukaryota; Metazoa; Chordata; Actinopteri; Salmoniformes; Salmonidae.
GUUAUGAAUCAACAUUUAUUAGUUAUCAUAAUCGUAUGUACACCAAUGGUACAACACUUAUUGAUAUGUAUGAACAUACUUUUAUACCACAGAUCUGGUAAAGAAAAUAAAUCAGAUAUUUUUUGUCUUUAUUUUGUAAUAUUCUGUCUCCCAGACAUACUCUCUCCCUUUACAUCAAAAUUACAGCAACAGUUUUACAAAUAAGGGACAUCCUAGAACAGUAAGCGAGGGAGCGAAAGGUAGGGCAGGAGUGAGAAAGGUUAUCAGGUCUACUCAGGAGGAGCCUAUCAGAAAGACAGAGACUUCUGUAGAAUACAGACUUGAAGAUAUACUGGCUCAUCUUAGAAAUACUGUGCCAACCCAUUUCCAUUUGAACAUCCUCUUUACUCAAUAUUGGGUUUGUUUGUGUGUGUGCAAACAAUUGUGAUGAAAAUGAAGAUAGGCAAAAAGGCAAAGUUACCAAUAUGUGUCUGGAUAGGUUUAUGAAAUGGUACUGGUGGGUUGAUAGUUCUGGAUAGACAGAGGCUAGUGUAUGGAUAUGACACUGGGGCUCAUUACAGUUACUGUCUCUAACUGUAAGGAAUAAUCUAAACAUGAAUUAUGACUGUUUGGUGUAAAUAUGUAUGUCUUGUAGUUACCACAAUAUGAUGCAUAAAGCACAAGACAAGGAGGCGGACACUGAUGGUGAGUGUGGUGUUCUCUGUUAGAAAGUCUAGAUGAUUCCUGGAACAGGAUCUGGGUGACCACAUGAGGAGCUAUAUUUUGUUAGGUGCAAGGCCAGACAUUCUGAUCAGAUUUGCUAUUUUAGUCAUAAUGAACGAGCUAAGCUGUACUUGUUUCAUUAGUUAAUGGUAAAUUUGACCUUUUCCUCUUCCUCUGGAAACCUAGUCAUGAUAACAUCCACAUUUCACCAACUUAGAAACAGCACAUCACCCCACAUGGACUCCUUUUUUUAAUCAGAUAGUUUCUCCUCUUUCUAUUUGUCUUUCCAGUUCAACAUUGUGCGCUUCAGAAUCAUUGUGAUCUCUGGAACAUGUAUGCACAAUGAAAAUGAAUGGACACAACUUAUAUCUCCAUGGAACAAACAUUCAAAACGCUUACAUUAGAUACAAAAAAAGAUAUGUAUAUAUUGAUGUGUGGCAGCUAAGUGAGAAAACUAGUUAACAGCUAUUAACAAAUAAUAAUAAGCAAUUUAUUACACAUUAUUUUCUCGACAUUUUGACUAAUCUAUUUUUAUUCAGAACAUAGAUAAUAUUUCUCUAGAGGAUUACAAAAAACUGUCACAGCAAUUAAUCUCUAUUCCUACAUACCAUGUCAACCCCCCCUCCCAAAAAUAAAACAAAAUAUUUGUUACCUUCAAUAUGUACACAAAGUGCAAGGAGGCACUUCAAUAUCAUGCUUUUUAAGAUAGUGGUGCAAAACAAAUAUCAUCAUGUUUAACUUCAUGCUCCUACAACAGUGAGUUUGAACAUAAUAGUGUUCCAACACUCAAUCCCUAUGGUGACACACUGGUCAAAGGUCAGGGGUUUUAGUGCUGUGCUCAGCAUCUCACUCAUUGCAUGUUAGAAUGUGUGUGGUGACCUUCCAGGUUUAAUUGUGUGCGUAUGUGCAUGCAAGUGUCGUAUGUGUGUAUGUGUUGUGUGCGACUGUGCAUGUAUGCGAGUGUGCAUACGUGUGUGUGCAUAAGUGUGUGUGUGCGGGCAUGGGUGUGUGUGUGUGUCUGUGCAUUGUGUCUGUGUGUGAUGGCAGUGUCCAUGCAGCUCUUACAGCAGAACGCCAUUGUGUGCUGUGGCGUAGAGAAGCACACUUUGUUAUACAAGUUAUACAAGUGGCAUUGAUAUUCUGACUGAGAAAGUGUUUCAGGUAACUAAAUGACUGUGUGCUGCACUAUGAAUGCUUGUUAAGUUUUCUAGUGUUACUUUAAUCGGCAUUGUUAUAACGGUCAAACUGACUGCACAGUUUGGAGUUAACAUCUUCAAAGCAAGGUUGUCAUUGAACAAAAUAAACAAAACUAGACCAUAGAGCAGGACACGACACAGAUAAAGAAAUGACAUCCACACCUGCAGAACGCCUCACCUGCACAAAACGUCUCUCAUACAGUCACAUACAUGUAUUAAAGAUUAGCAGCCAGUGAUCUAACUUCAUGUGGGUUUCUCUUUUUAGCCAGUUUGGUUCCAUUAGGGGAUAGAAUUCUCCUACCUUAUUGUUGCCAUGUUUGUAGUGGCCAUUUUCAGGCACCAAGAUGACUGCUAUACAUUAGUAACAAUAUGAGACCAAUGAUACACACAGCUGCAGCAUUCAGGGUCUCUGAGAACAGUCGUCAUCGUCUGUGGUAAUAGGUUGUUUACUCACAAAGGAGACCCCACUCUUGGGGUGGAUAAAAAUAGUUUAGGAUGUAAAUACUGCCAACUGGCCACUAGUUGUGCAGUGAGUUAUCAACCUGUUGAAACUUGCGGUCUUAUUACUUUUUUAACUUCUAUGGUUGUUCUGUGGCAUCUUUGAUAAUAUAUGUGUGUUUGUACUUUCAGGCACUAAGGGAAGCCAAGAAAAUUGGAGUCACUGGAAUGGUAAAGUUGGAAAAAUUGGCAAAUUUCUGUGUGCUAAAAAUAAUCCCUUAAUUAAAGUAGCUUACUUAGGAAUAGUUGUAAAGGGAAACUUUGUCUCUGUCAUAUAGGUGCAAGAUAUGCAAAAAAUGUUUCUCUUUAAAAAAUAUCAAGGUGUUAAACAGUCGAUGUGUUCAAAGUCACAGCUUUCAUAUUUAAGUUGUGCUAUAUAAAGGCAAGUGUCAAUAUCCUAUUUUCUUUCAUGAGCAGGUAAACAUGUUGAGGGCUUGGUGAAAGUGUAUCUUUCCCUGCCAAGGAGUUAAUGCUACAGCCUGAGUAUAGUUUCCCUUUAUUGGGUUCUUCGAUUACAAAUGUCAAAUGUGAAAAGAGACCUGUGUCAAAAAUGGAUAAAAAAUGAUCUAGAACUCUUUCAUCCUCAAAGCUGCAAUUGUGCUAUUUGUACUUCUCAGUAUUACAUUAGUUUUCAGUUUUGGAACAACUUGAUUUUUGCUUUACUUGGCAUAUUAAUCAUGGUUCUAGAUAUCUUCCUAGAGCCUUCACAAUUUACACUUGGUUCUCAUUAUUUUUAGCCUCAGAUAAUCAAAUUGAUAGCUUCAGUGGAAGGGAGAGGGGUCUGAUAAAUACCUCCUACACUUCAGUACUUGGACUAAUUUAUAUGAAAAAGAUCCCUGAACUGAAGCUAUUGAUAUAUUGGUAUCUGGGGACAAAUUUCACCUUUACUUUUCUGUUUGAGGCAUUGCAGUAAUUGCGUGAAGAGAUCUUUAUGUACCUCUUGGUAUAUAAUUUGUAGGAGUUGAAAUGAGUAAUGAGACACCAUCUUCACUUGGAGUUAGCUACAAAUAGAUUGUGUACAGAGUAAGAAACCCCGAAAGACGAUAGAAAUGACCGUCAAUAAGUCAUGGAGGUGUUUCAAAGGCUUCUGGCUUGAUUGAUUAUAUGCCUGUUUGGUCCCUAUUAGUAACUGGGGAGAUAUGUCAUGUUCUCACCCCCAACCCAUCCACACAUAUACACACAGCCACACACCCAAAUCACACAGAUACAGUAUAUAAUCUCACACUAGAAGCUAGAAGCGACAUUUAAGAAGUCCCUUUCCCUUACAGUAGAAAAAAGAACGUAUUACAAUAAAAAAGGGAAGUAGAGGUUCCAUGUUUCAUAUGUGUUUUGUGCUUUUGAAUUCCAGAGAACAUGUGCUUGUGGAGUAAGGCUCAGGCUGCAGACCCUGCCCUUAUAGGUAUGUGUCUCUGUAUUCUACAGUAUCACCACCCUAAUUCCCCCUGGGGAAUGUGGGUAAUAUCAGGUAACAAAGACACUCAGAUAGGUCACAUGGGCUCUGUCAGGUAUAGGUCAAAGGUUAACUUGUGAGGAAAAAGGGGCCAGGGCUCAACAGAUGCCUACUGUGGUAUCAUUGGUAAUAGUAAUGACGUGUGUAAUAAUGUAAAGUUUGAUACAGGCAUUCCUUCAGUCUAGCAUGACUCACACUCUUAUCUUCCACACAUUGUCUGUUGUUAGACUGCCAAAUUGCCAGUAACAAACUCACAGCUACCAUCACAUUCUGGAGGACUGUUGUUCCAAUGUUACUCCCCCAAACUCUGACCCUCCCCCUGCUUUGAAUGCAGUACUCUUAUAGAUGCAGGAUGCAUAUAUUUCUAGGAAUAAUUUAUGUUGUACAAAUGUUUGCUAUGAAGCAAACAUUAGUGCUCUAACAGGUCAAACAUACCUUUGUUAUCGUCUCACCGAUAAGUGAAUUAGUAUUAGUCCUCUUAGUCAGUCAGAUAGACGGUUAGAAACACUGUAGGAACUAAUACAAACAUUUCAAAAAAGAAAUAAAACUACAUAAAAAAAGACAAUUAGUAGUUUUGUUCGCAUGACUCUUUUUUUCACCAGAUAGGAAAGCAUGUGGAACUGGGGAUCUGUGUGCUGGCUUUAUUCACGUUUCUGGGGUUCCUCCUCAACAAGCAUGCACUCCGCCAUGGUCGCCGCAGCGGUAGAGCCAUUAGUGGUCGAGGUUACCUGAAAGCAAUCACCAUGGACAUCUAAACAGCAGGUUUACACAUCUAUGUAAACAGGCACAGUGCAUGCUUCAUGACCUGGACUGAAUACUUUGGAGCAAAGGCAGCAGAAGAACUGUAGAACUACUCUGAUUAUUUGGUUUGCAUUUGGCUGCACCUACAUUAUAUACUUAAAGCCUUUUACUUUCAAAUUGUACUUUUCCAAUUGUUUUAAGUGUCAAAAUAUCAACGAAAGACUAUCAUAAUGAAACAAUUGGUUCUGUGCUCCAAUUAUAUGAUUGAUCACAAUAUAAAAGAUAGGUGUAUACUGAAGGUAUCAGGAAGACCUGGACAAUCACUGAGGAUCAUGCUGAUGGAAUCACGGUGGUCUGUCUUAACAACGAGCACCAGACCUUUUACUGACCUGAGAACAAUCAACAUAUAAUCACAAAUUUAACAUGCAGUGAAAUACAGAGGAUCUUAAUUUGACCCUGCUUCUCACAGCAGGAAAAUAAUGAUUCAGCCGCAGCAAAUGUGAAUUAUUAUGCGGAUUAUAAUGAAUAGACAUUUUUGUAGGGGUUGAUACAUUCAGGGGUUGGAACCGAUUUAGGGAACAGAACCAAAAACCAAAUAAAUAAAUAAAUAAUAAAGAAUCAGAACCGGGAACUAAAGUGCUCUGUUCCGGAACAGAACCGUUAUUUUAAAAGCAUGGGAACCGGUUAAUAAUGUUAUUUUACAUUCCGGGACCAAUUUUUUUAGUCCCACAAAAAACGCAAUAAGGCGCCUACGCAAAGCCCUCACUCUGUCACUUAGAAACUCAUUCCAGUGUCUUCCUGCCAGCUGAAAAUCUUUGCCAGUGUGUGUGCGCGUGUAGGCUACCUACCCCUCCCCCUCCGAAGCUUAAGCUACUCUAGC